AGCAGCCGCGGUAAUUCCAGCUCCAAUAGCGUAUAUUAAAGUUGUUGCAGUUAAAAAGCUCGUAGUUGAAUUUCGGGGUCAGUAGGUCGGUCGUGCCACUGGUAUGAACUGGUUUUACUGAUUCCUCCCUCUUGAAGAACUGUAAUGCCAUUAAUUUGGUGUUGCAGGGAAUCAGGACUGUUACUUUGAAAAAAUUAGAGUGUUUAAAGCAGGCUUUAGCUUGAAUACAUUAGCAUGGAAUAAUGAAAUAGGACGUUUGAUCCUAUUUUGUUGGUUUCUAGGAUUGACGUAAUGAUUAAUAGGGAUAGUUGGGGGCAUUAGUAUUCAAUUGUCAGAGGUGAAAUUCUUGGAUUUAUUGAAGACUAACUACUGCGAAAGCAUUUGCCAAGGAUGUUUUCAUUAAUCAAGAACGAAAGUUAGGGGAUCGAAGACGAUCAGAUACCGUCGUAGUCUUAACCAUAAACUAUGCCGACUAGGGAUCGGAUGAGUUAAUUUUUUAAUGACUCA
This 507-nucleotide ribosomal RNA is filed under the name Glomus sp. Glo3. RNAcentral's name for it is "SSU rRNA". It matches the Rfam family "Eukaryotic small subunit ribosomal RNA", at positions 569 to 1078 of the family's 1831-position model. Lineage: Eukaryota; Fungi; Glomeromycota; Glomeromycetes; Glomerales; Glomeraceae. The record is from RNAcentral.